RNAcentral lists this long non-coding RNA (1097 nucleotides) under Marmota monax (woodchuck). Lineage: Eukaryota; Metazoa; Chordata; Mammalia; Rodentia; Sciuridae. The record is from RNAcentral.
UUUAAAACUAGCCUGUCUGCGGAGGGGCGUGUGUCCGUUCUGCAGGUGAUUCUAAGGCGAGGCAGUGCUGAGAAUCAUUGCACUGGAUUAUUUGCAUUGAUGGAUGUUUUACAAAUAGUAUCAGUGAUCCUUGCAAUAGUCCUGGGAGCUAAACACAAUCAUGCAGUAUUGAUUUUAGCUGCUGGGGUUUGAACUCAGGGCCUCUAAGUGCGUGCUUUCCCCUGAGCUACUCCCUCAGCCUCUCUUCUGCCCUUUUAAUUACGUAAAACGCAAGUUUCAGAAGUGACUGGCCCGGCCUCAGCAAUUUAGGGAGUCCCUCAGAAACCUAGUGAGACCCUGUCUCAAACUAAAAAAGAAUAAAAUGGCUGGAGUUGUAGCUCAGUGGUAAAUCACAAUUGGGACCAAAUCCCCAGUGCCAAAAAAGGGUUCACUCAAAAUGACACAGUCUGUAAAUGGUGCUUCCAUCUUUCCCAGAAGAGGAAGACGGUGAUAAGUCCAGUGAAAGUGUACUUUCACUGUGUCACACUGUGAGUAAAGGUCACAAAACUCUGAGUUUUUUCUUCUUUUGUCAGUAGCAGUCUAUCUAACAAGGAACUGCUAAUUUUACACACUUUACCUCUAAUUCCCUUGCCACUCACUUUUGAGUUUGAGCUGCAGUUAAGUAGCCCAUGCAGAGGCUGCCCUGCUUCCACAGUGUGUGGGACCUUCUUUCCUUCUUCCAUGCCUGUGGCCACAUGUGUCUCUGGAACGUUGAAAUGUCUGGAUUCUUUCCUACAGGACGAACUUCUUUGUGACCCUACACUGCAGUACCACAGGAGCCUUCCUGCAGGUGUUAAAGUUUAAGAAGGAACAUAGGCAGUGAAAUUGGGGAGGGGGAGUAUUAAGAGGGGAAAUGUCUAUCUGACUCUGCAUCCCUCUUUUCUCUUCCCUGGUCCAUUGGGCCUGGAUUCUAGAACCUCAGCUUCCUCUGAGCUGCCCCAGGUGGGGAGCUUCCUGGGACCCCACUGCUGCAGGUGAUGACCUCAUGAAAACAUCUCUGAAGUACUGUCCUCCCACCUAGAGUCCCUCUGAGUUUCCCAAGAUGUCAAAGGUAAUAG